This 248-nucleotide unclassified non-coding RNA is filed under the name rhizosphere metagenome. RNAcentral describes it as "partial ribosomal RNA internal transcribed spacer region". The record is from RNAcentral.
GUAGGUGAACCUGCGGAAGGAUCAUUACUGUGGGAGGGCCACCUGGGGACAGUGUCCUUGGGUGGCUCUUGCUCCGUUCCUGUGCUGCGUGUACGAUGUGAGAUGUGGUGCUGCAGUGUUCCUGUGACAGGGACCACGCGCAUGCCCACACCCACCCACCUUUAACCCUUUUUUGUUGGUCUGAUCCCAUCGUGUCCAUGACACAACGACAACAUCGAAAACUGCCAGCAAUGGAUCACUCGGUUCUC